Molecule: long non-coding RNA, 2114 nt
Organism: Amaranthus tricolor (Joseph's coat)
Lineage: Eukaryota; Viridiplantae; Streptophyta; Magnoliopsida; Caryophyllales; Amaranthaceae
Exons: 2
Source: RefSeq, a predicted model, not a curated record
UUGAAGUUAUUAGAUACUUAAAAGUCAAUGGAUCGAGUAGAAAUAGAAAACAAUGGAGUGCUAGAAUAGAAUAAUUAGAAUAUUUUGUAAAUAUUUAGUUUCCUAAAACUCAUGAUUGUAUUUUGUAUGUAUUCUAUUCUCAUGAAAUGAAAUGACAAGAAAAUCAUUUCUAAUAUGGUAUCAGUUGCCUAGGUUAUUGCUUUCUCCAUUCUUCCUCCUUAUUGGUCGGCAGCCUUCCCCCACCGGCUGUGCCGCCACACUUUCCACCCUCUUUUUCUUCCUUGUCUUGCUCUUUUCAUGGCUUCCUCCACAAAAAUGCAUCCCGCUACUUUGGUUACUAACAUCAAAACAUGUAUACCUAUUCAACUUGAUGAAGAUGGUUCCAACUUCUACACUUGGGUCACCCUCUUUCAACUUCAUUGUUGGGCUAAUCUUGUAGAUUCUCAUAUCAUUCCCGAUGACUCUUCUAAAGCAUCGGUCACCAAAGACUCCGAUUGGCUACAUCUUGAUGAUAUUGUUCGUACAUGGAUUUAUGGUACUAUUAGUCCCUCUCUUCUUAAAUCGAUUGUCCGUCCCGAUCAUAGUGCUUUUGAUGCUUAGACUCGCAUUGAGAACAAUUUUCAAAACAACAAUCGUAUUUUUCAGCUUGAGUCUCAAUUCAAUGAUAUUUCUCUUGCUAAUUUCCCGAAUAUGAAGGCUUAUUGUAAUGAACUUGAGAAUAUUGCUACUUCUUUUAACAAUCUUGGUACUUUUAUCUCCGACAAUCGAUUGGCUCUUCAAGUUCUCCAUGGUUUGACUCGAGACUACCGUACUUUUCGUUCCUUGGUACAACACAUGAGUCUCGUGCCAUCCUUUGAUACUCUUCGAUCUAUGUUAGAAUUGGAAGAACAUUCUCACCACCAAGAUGUCUCUUCAUUUCAUGACCCGACUCUUUUCACUACUUCCAAACCAUUUGUAACACCACGUAAUUUAUUACGUCAAUAUUAUAAAUUUUUUUAAAUAAUUUGAAAAAAAACCAAUUUAAAAUAUUUAUUAUCGACUAAUUGAAUUAGUCUUUAGAUAUAUACAUUUUUUUUAUUUCUUUUAUUUAAGUAGUCAAUGGUUACUAUUAUUGUAAUUUUAAUUAUUGAUAUUAUUAUUAAAAUAAAUCAAAGUUAGUAUGGGCUAGGGUUAUUUUUGGGUCUUAUAGGUAAUAUACACAAGUAGUAUGAGUGGAGUUUUUAAAUUUACACUUCUCCUUCCCUCACAACACCAAACCACCAUCACCACAACCAGUAGCUGCCACCACUUGCAACCGGCGCCACCAACAACCGGCCGCCGCCAGCAGCCACCACCAGCCGGUGGCUGUCCCCCCCCCCCCCCCCCCCCCACGCACCUCUUCUCUCUCCUCCAUUUUUUGUGCCUGGUUCAUAAGAGGGGCGUAAGAACCUCUUUCGACGUGAUUGUUGCGACUUGUUAUCUCUUGCAGUUGCAGGUAAGUACACGCAGUAGCUAACUCUUAAAUGCAUCUUGAAUAUGUUUUCUUUGCGUAACAAUAUUAUAUGGGUUAUGUUGACUAUGAUUUGCUAUUAAACAUUAUAAAGUUAGUGUUUCAAGUAUGGAUCGGUUUGAAGAGAUGGUAGAGAAUGAGUUUUGAUAUCGCGAGAGUGCAAUGUUGGAUAUUAUGAGAUGGAAUGGGAAGGAUUCCUUAUUGAUAAGCUUUGAAUUAUGUUUUAUGAAUGGGAGUGAGUCACUUAUUGAUGAGAUAUUAAGUUGGUUGUUUACUGUGACUCCACUUGAUUGGUACCCCAGUUGGUUUAGUUCCCGGAGGCAUGGAUCAUCUAUAUAUGGUCGUUGUACAGGGGUAUGAUCAUACUUUGCCAUUGGGCGCCGGCAUGGCCGUCACCGUCCCUAGCUGAGGUGUUACCAUGUGAGUCUUGCAAACCCCAAUAUGGUGACCUCUUGUCACAUAAGAGAAUAUAUGAAACCAAAGAAGAGAUAGAAAAUUGUGAAGGCAUUUAGAAGUACAUAGAAUUGAGAAGUAGUUGGAGUUGAUACUUACACAUUGGAAUGUCUCCCUCACCUUCAUUGGUUGAAGUUGAUUGUUAGUUAUAUAUAUAACAUGUUGUUAGUUA